GUCAUUCUGAACUAGCCAUGGCAGUAGUCGUGGUGUUUCUCUUUGUUGUGUUUUGCACUUGCAUGCAAGGAAAUUGUAAAACAUUUGGGCAUGAUGGGUUUGAAAAACGUAUUCUGAUAGAAGAUAACUACUACACCGUAAUAUCGCGACUGGAUGCACUUGAAAGCGAAAACACCAAGCUUAAACAAGAAAUAACUUCUCUUAAAGGGACCGUGUCAAGUCUGAUUUCACAACCAACAGUUGCGUUUAUGGCCUACCUGACACAUGACGUGAGUGGGCAACAUCAACACAUCAUAUUUGAAAAUGUCAAAUUGAACCUCUGAAACGCAUACUACCCGAACCAUGGCAACUUUCUGGCCCCGAGUAAUGGGCUUAACGUAUUUCAUAUAAAUGCAUGCUCGUUGAAUCCGCAUUUCAUCACCCUUGAUUUAAAAGUAAACGGUUCAAAGAUUGGAAGCGUACUCGCGGGAGAUCAAGAUUUUUCAAGUUGCAGCUCGAACACGUUUUAUGUUCAUCUCAACAUCGGAGACGACGUUUACGUGACACAUGAAGCUGAAGGAGACCUUCUUCGUGAGAACAGUGCCUGGAGUGACCCUUCAUUCUCCGGGGCGCUAUUACAUGCUGACAGCGUGGGAGUUAGAAGUAGUAUAUAGUUGUGAAUUCUCAACAUUGAAUUAAUAAGUGCGUUCUUAAUACAAUCAAUAAAAUGAAAUUCGUCACAA
This is a long non-coding RNA of Mya arenaria, 722 nucleotides long. RefSeq lists it as uncharacterized. Lineage: Eukaryota; Metazoa; Mollusca; Bivalvia; Myida; Myidae. The record is from RefSeq and is a predicted model, not a curated record. The transcript is spliced from 2 exons.